CAGUGAUUUUGUGUCUUGUGAUGGCACAGUUACUGGUCCACUUCAUCUCACAUCUCUAUCUUUAAAUGCAUCAAGCUCAACAAAACAGGGACACUGAGCCCCCCUCUUACUGGGAUCAUCUGUCUGCCUGGUGAACAAGCCGCGUCCUGCCCACUGCACCCAAAUCACAGAGAAAUGUACUCAAAAUUUACAGAUCCUGAAACAUGACUGAAACAAGAACAGACCUGAAUAUUCAGUUACGGAUGCAUUUUCACGCAAUUGUCCAAAAGGGGGGCAAGAAGCCGUAAAGGAUAUGCCACAAGGAGAUCAUAUUAAUAUAACACACACACAAACAAACACAUACAGACACACUCAAAAUAAUCUCCUAGGACUUCCGUUGCAUUCCCACAAGUGUCACACCCAGUCGCAACGGUAACAUGAGAAUGCAUUUCACAGGGUCACUGCGUGGAAAUGACGGGAUACGCCGAGGUGGAAAACACACUGAUCGAUAUCUCCUCCACCAAACUCAGAACGUUUGAUUCUUGAGUUUGAUUCAGAGCGACGUGAUUCUUCAAAUGAAUCUGAAGCAUCCAGGGCAUGUCCCUGAGGCCGACGGCCUCGGCUUCUCUCUCAGCGGUUCGUCUGAGCGCUGGCACUUUGAAAGGGACAGCAAUAUCCACUGAUGUAAUGUGAGAGAUAGCGAUCUUUUAUGCGCUGCUUUAUAACUUGUGGGCGUAAUGUGAGUUUGGGGGGCAUGAGGGGGUGAUGAAGCAGUGUCGCUGGAAUCCGCAGUGUUGUGAGAGCUUCAUACCUUUCAGCUUCAUUAAACCAAUUUCACGCCGAGGUGAGCUAAGAGAGGAAACUCUGAGUCUCUGCCGCCGUAACAAUGGCGCAUUGAAGGGACGAGGCGAAAGUAAAUUAGGUACCACUUCACAGACGGCAAAUUAAAAUCUGAAAGUUGGAUAGGAAAAGUUGAGGGGGAGAUGAUUAUGUCUUUAUUGUGCUGCUCUCAAUCUAAAAAAAAAAAAAAAAAACCUACCCAUCCUUUUAGCAAGCACCUUUGCCCCCCACCCCCCAAGACUCUCUGCUUAGAAGAAAUAAUGAUCUAUUUCUUGUGUGGUAAUUGGUUUCUAAGAUGCCCUUGCCAAAAAAAAAAAGCACAGAUUUUGAAUCUCUUAGCCUUCCUUUCAGUCACGUAAUUUGGUUCUUAUCAGUGAGAUAUGAUAUCCUGAGAAAAUCAUAUAAAUUAAACAUUUGUGUGGGUGCUUAUUUUUGUACCGUCAUUUUGGUGUCCACAAGAGUGCUCAGAGGUGUGAUGUCUGUCAGGGGGCUUCGUGUUAGAAACCGCUGAGCAUCAGAAUCUUCAUAUCCUUUCAUUUUAAAACACUGUCACUAAGUUAAAGAGGUCUGACAUAUUAGGAAAAACUGUAUUUUAUAUCAGUGGCCAGCCUGUGUAUGUGUGUGUGUUCUGUGUGCUUUCUCUGAGGCAGUAGUAAUGUGACCCCGCAAAGAAUAAAGGAGGCACUGUAAACAGUGCACA
This is a long non-coding RNA of Megalobrama amblycephala (Wuchang bream), 1519 nucleotides long. RefSeq lists it as uncharacterized. NCBI's taxonomy places the organism in Eukaryota, Metazoa, Chordata, Actinopteri, Cypriniformes, Xenocyprididae. The transcript has 3 exons. The record is from RefSeq and is a predicted model, not a curated record.